CGUGUAGGCGGGUCGACAAGUUGGAUGUGAAAUGCACCGGCUCAACUGGUGCGCUGCAACCAAAACUGCCGAUCUUGAGUGUUGGAGAGGAUAGUGGAAUUCCUAGUGUAGCGGUAAAAUGCGUAGAUAUUAGGAGGAACACCAGUGGCGAAGGCGGCUAUCUGGACCGAUAUCGACGCUGAGACGCGAAAGCGUGGGUAGCAAACAG
RNAcentral lists this ribosomal RNA (208 nucleotides) under uncultured bacterium. RNAcentral describes it as "partial 16S ribosomal RNA". It matches the Rfam family "Bacterial small subunit ribosomal RNA", at positions 568 to 775 of the family's 1533-position model. The record is from RNAcentral.